CGGUGAAUACGUUCCCGGGCCUUGUACACGCCGCCCGUCAAGCCACGGAAGCCGAGGGCGCCUGAAGUCGGGGGAUCAAAUCCCUGCCGAGGGCGAAACUGGUAACUGGGGCU
This 113-nucleotide ribosomal RNA is filed under the name uncultured bacterium. Its description in RNAcentral is "partial 16S ribosomal RNA". It matches the Rfam family "Bacterial small subunit ribosomal RNA", at positions 1360 to 1482 of the family's 1533-position model. The record is from RNAcentral.